Pelobates cultripes (western spadefoot toad) is the source of this 455-nucleotide non-coding RNA. The record is from the annotation of a GenBank genome assembly. Lineage: Eukaryota; Metazoa; Chordata; Amphibia; Anura; Pelobatidae.
CAUGAUUGUUUUGAACAAAUGAAAAUGGAAACUACACACCUACCAACUGUCUAUGAAGCUGCAUUACUCAAUCCGGACCAAACACUAUUUGUGGAUGGGUCAAGAUUUGCUGAUGAACAGGGACAAUAUCACACUGGGUAUGCAGUCACCACAGAAUGCCAAGUAUUACAAGCAGCUGCCCUACAACCAACUAAGUCUGCUCAAGAAGCUGAAUUGACAGCCCUAACUGCGGCCUGCAAAUUGUCUGAAGGUUUACGUGUCAACAUUUACACGGAUUCAAGAUAUGCCCUGGGAGUAGCACAUGACUUUGGCUUAAUUUGGAAGACCAGAGGAUUUCUUACGGCCACUGGUACCCCAGUAAAACAUGGGGCAGCCAUUGCAGAGCUGAUGGAUGCAUUGGAACUUCCAGCAGAGGUGGCAGUACUGAAAGUAAAAGCCCAUGGAAGACUAGACAC